UGGUGGGGCCUCAGUAACUGCUGAGAAGUCUCCUCCCAGCAGCCCCUUCAAAAAGGAGAAACACCCCUCAGAAAGGACUGGCGCUCACAUCUUGAAUCCUAAAAACUGUCAGGGAGUAACUAGGUAAGAGACCAGAAGCUCCAAUGGUGCCACCUGAGCGCCUACUCUGAGCUCCUGUUUCAAAUUGCUGACGCCCUCUGUCAAAGAAGAAUCCACGAGUCAUCUGGGAGCCUGGGUUUAAUGGACAAAGGUGAAGGGCUGGGGAAAAUCACACCAUGACUAUAGAACAGAACAGAGAGGAGGUUCAAGUGAUACUUAAUCAGGAUGUCUGGAAAACCAGGAGGAUGGGAAAACCAAAUUAACAGAAUUUAGCAUCUAUAAUACUCUUAUAUCAGGCAGAGAGAGGUGAGUAGCUUUUCCAGAAUUCAGUCAAUCUCUUUGUUCUGCUUUUCUUUAAGAUUUUAUUUUUAAAUAAUCUCUGUACCCAAUGUGGGGCUCAAACUUACAACCCUGAGAUCAAGAGUCGCAUGUGCUACCAACUGAGUCAGGCCGGUGAGCUGCCCCUCUUUGUUCUGUUUUUAAUUCCCUCUUGGAAUAGAGUCCUUCUCCCACAUCCUUUAUCUAGCUCACUCCUACUCAUUUCUCAAAACUCACCUCAAACAUCACCUCCUCUGAAAAGCCUUCCUUGAUCCACCCACCAGCUGACCUAGAUGCCCCUCCUAUGUGUAGUUCUAUUCUAGCUCUUGUCACAUCAUAUCAUAACCCACUCGUCAGCUUGUCAGUCCCCCGCCUCCAGACUGAUAGUCUUAGAGCAGGACUCGCAGGGCUGCCUGGGGGCUCAGUGGGCUAAGCGUCUGACUCUUGACUUCGGCUCAGGUCAUGAUCUUGUAGUUUGUGAGUUUGAGACCACAUUGGGCUCUACACUGACAGUGCAGAGCCUGCUUUGGAUUUUCUGUUUUCCUCUCUCUCUCUGCCCCUUCCUUGCUCAUGCUCUCUCUAUGUGUCAAAAAUAAAUAAACAUUAAGAAAAAAAAAAUAGAGCAGGACUCCCUUUGGAGCACAUGUCCAUUCCCAGGGUCCAGCACCUUCGUGAGUUCUCUGUUUGUUCAGCUAGCUUAAACCAAUUUGGCAAACUUUUCCUUGGCACCACAAUGUCAGGUGCCGUGGGGGUGAUGGAAGAAUUAUAACACAUGACCCCUGAUAUCAGAGUGAUUAAAAUCUAGCUGAGGCAUAAUGACACGCUAAAAUGGAGAUAGUUGUGCCUGAGAGCAAUUACACUUCAGGCGUGUAUCAUGUAAUUGAGAAUAUAAAUGCGAUAGAAGCCCUGGGUGAGGGCGUACAUGGAAGUCAUGGAGGAUGUGGAAUUUGAUCUGGACUGUGAGGGUGGGUAGGAUUUGGGCGGGGAGUCAGAAGAAACCAGGGCAGCAAGGUAGGGGCAGCAAUGGGCAAAGGUGUGGGACUGGGAAAGAGCAUGUGGUCCUUAUGUGACAGCAGGGAGGUUCGAGUGACCGGAGCAGAGAGCUUUUGCAAGGAGGAGGAGGAAAUCCGUGUUGGACAGCAUCUGGCUUCGGCAAGGAAUUUCUGGAUUACUUAGGAAUGUGCGUGCUGCCUCCCCAGAUCUUGUGGACUGAUUAUGGCACUCUGCCAUAUACUCUAAAGACAGGUUCACAUGUCUCUAUCACUAAAUUGUGAGCUCCUAGUCCAGAGUGUGGGUUGCAGAAUAAUGUCCUCCACACACACACACACACACACACACACACACACACACACAAAGAUGCCUGUAUCCGAAUCUCCAGAGCCUGUAACUAUUCUGCAUUAUGUGGCAAAGGGGAAUUAAGGCUGCUAGUCAGCUGACCUAAAACCAGAUUAUCCUGGAUUAUCUGGGUGGUCCAACAUAAUCACAUGGGUCCUUACAAAUGGAACAGAGAGGCAGAAGGAAGUCGGAGGGAGCUGUGACCGCUGAGGAAGGUCAGAGUGACACAAUGUGAGGAGGAUUCAGCUCACAGUUGCUGGCUGUGGAGUGAAGGAGGGAGUGAAGGAGGGAGCCAACAAGCCUAGGAUCACAGGCAGGCUCUAAGCGCUGGAAAGGGCAAGGACACAGAUUCUCCCUUAAAGCCUCCGGAGAGGGAAAGAGCCGUGCAGGCAUCUUGAUUUUACCCCAGGGAGACCCGUUUCAGACUUCUGAUGUACAGGACUGUAAGAUAAUAAAUAUGUAUUGUUUAAGCCACUAAGUUAGAUGUACUUUGUUACAGUAGCAAUAGGAAAACGGACACAGGACGGACCAUGUCUCGGUCGAAUUUGCAUCCACACAUAACUCAGCUGCCUCUAUUCCGGUGCUCAGUAAAUGCUUACUUAAUGCAACUGCAUAAAGAACCACUGACUCAACAUCCCUCCCCGAGAACAUAAAGCAAACUCUAGCAACAUCCAUGGCGUAGAGCCACGUGCUUCGGGUCAGUUUGCUCUCGGCACAGAUUUUGUUUUUGCUAUUAUAAAAUAACAUCAGAGCAAGCAUCAUCCUUCUGUUUUUGAAGCAAUUUGCUUAUCCUAAGCAGAUUUCCUGGGUCAAAGAUGAUGGACAAUUUUUACGGCUCUUGACCCAUUUAACCCAACUUAACUUUCCAGAGAGUUAGAGCUAAUCGGCGCCCUUGCUUGUAAUCAAGCACCACCGUGUACCCACCACUGGGCCCAGCAGGGCCCUCAGGCACGGCCUCCUCCCUGCACAUUAAAGUUUUUUCUGCUUUGAUAUCAGCUGUACAAGCUUUGGUCCCGGGACUCACUGGGGGCCUCCCACCCUGAGCAGACACCCUGGACAUUUUGCUGUGGUGGCCUUCCUGGUGGCAAGAGCGACUUCUCCACAGCCGUGAGGAACAUUCCUUAGGGAUAAUGCUGGUCUGGGAGGGAGCAACCUGACAGAUCCCUAGUUUAUUUUUAGUCAGCAAUUACAAUGAGACUUUUUUUUUUUUAAGAGUUGCAAGAACUGAUCUGCCUAUGUUCAGGAAGCUGGUAAUUUUCCAGUGUCCCCAAAGACGGGGCCUGAGAAUUGGAGCUGACUGGCCCCAGAGGGAAAAGCUGGUUGCUUUAAAGGUGGAAUACUACACGGAAGCGAAAAAUGAAUUAACUAGAGCUACACGUGUCAGCACAGCCAUCAUAAGUUCCUAUGCGACUGUGAGCUGCAGGUGACCGUCAAUUCAGCUCUGAAUUGACUCACAGCCAGAACUAGAAGGGACCCUAAGGUGCCAGAUUGGCAGAGACCACGACAAUAAACUACCCCCGUAGUUAAGAAGCAACACGGGUUUCCUUUGAAUCAAGAUGUAACAGGAAUUUCAUCCAUGCGUCACCACAGUGGAAAAGAUGGUUAGUAACAACAUUCGUACAGAAAUAAAAGGGGGGGAAGGGGCAUCAGCCAUUUUCUAGCAUCCCCCAACGCAUGCCAAUGGCUUCACGUGAGGGCGGGACUCAGAAGGAGCUGCUGUAUGAGGGCCCCUCUCUAUUGCCAGCGUCUGGGACAUUUCCAGAGCAACAGGCCUGGGUGAAGCAGCAGGGAAGCAGGCAGACUCUAGAAGGCAUCCCCCUGGAGGGGAAGGAAAUAAUCUCGACUCUGGGCAGUUCUCUCCCUCAAACGUCUGCUCCUCUUGCUGGGACACGUUGCUGUGGACACGGCAUCCAGGCGGCCAGCGUCUCUGCAGGCUGAGAAGGUCCCGGCCCCGGGACCAGAAGGCAUCCACCCUUUGCCUAGUGUUGCUGGCGAUCACUCUGACUUCUCACACCUUGGGUCCAUCCAGCUGUGUUUAAACCUUUGGUUUUUACCCUCAUCGUACAAAGUAGGGAGUCAAGAGGUAGUAGAUGGAACAAGAAAUAGAGGCGUAAGUACUUUACGUGAUUAUAAUAUUGUGAUUUGUAAAAAGACGUGCAUACUGGUCUCUGCCCCCAGCUCCUAACACAGAGCUCCUGAAACCCUUGUAAUUUCCUGCGUGGACAGGAGUGUCUUUUGUUCUAAUGAGGUGACUCUGCGUGGCUCCUGGAUGAGGGCUGGUCGCUGGAAAGCCCAAGCCGAAAUUAGAAGCUUGGAAUUUUCAGCCCUGCCUCCCAUUCUCUUGAGAAGUGGCGUCAGUGAUCAAUCACGCCUGCGUGAUGAAUCCUCCUUAAAAUCCCAAAAGCACAGGGUUCUGAGAGCUUCCACGUUGGUGGACACGUGGAGGGAGGCGCUGGGAACGUGGUGCAACCAGAGGGGGCAUCGGGGCUCCGCACCCCUUCCCCCAUACCUGUCCCAUGCAUCUCUUCCGUGUGGACAUUCAGCUGUGUCCAGUGUCCUAUCCUUUAAUAAACUGGUAAAUGUGUUUCCCUGAUGCAGCUGCUCUAACAAAUCAAUCGAACCCAAGGAGAAGGUCGUUGGAACAUGCAAUCGGUAGCCGGUUGGUGAGAAGUGUAGGUGAUAAUCUAGACUUUCAACUGGCAUCAGAAGUGCGUGUGCGUGCGUGUGUGUGUGUGUGUGUGUGUGUGUGUAUGUGGGUUGAGGGGCAGUUUUGUGGGAUUGAGCCCUUAACCUGUUGGAUCUGACACCAUGUCUGGGUAGUGUUAGAAUGAAAGUAAAUUGUAAGCCACCAAGCUGGUGUAGCAGACAAUUGCUUGUUGAGGGGACAACACCCGCCCCCACCCUCACCCCACCACAUUUGGUGAUCAGAAAUAAAGUGUUUUAUAUGGGUGGUUAAGGAGGGUCAUGGGGAGGAACGCAGUAGGGAGGAAGAACCGGGUUUUCCCUGCACAGGAAGGUGGAAAACCAAGUUUUCCCUUACAGAAAUGUUCCAAAAGUAGAGGAACCGUGUUAGUUUCCUGGGGUUGCCAGAACUAAUCGCCACAAAUGGAGUGGCUUAACACAACAGUAAUUUCUCUCACACAGUCUGGAGGUCAGGAGUCUGAAAUCAAGAUGUCAGCAGGGCCGUGCUCCCUCUGGAGGCUCCAGAGAGAUUCCUGCCUCACUCUCCCAGCUCCCCCCCCAAAAAUGGUGGCUAGCAACUCCCCGUCCUCCUUGGCUCGUGACUGCACCACUCCAAUCUCUGUCUUUGUCUCCACAAGGCUGUCUUCCCACUUUGUGAGUGUCUGUUUCCAAAGCUCUCUCUCCUUACAAGGAUGCCAGUCAUUGGGUCUAGGGCCUGCUCUACUCCACCAUGACCUCAUCUUUACUCGAUUACAUCUGCAAAGACCCUAAUGCCAAAUAAGGUCACACUCGCAGGUAUCAGCAGCUUGGACUUCAACGUAUCUUUUUGAGGGGGAAGGGAGUACACAGUUCAACUCCAAACAGAACCUUAAUAGGUGUGAAUAACAGAGGAACUAAAGGGGGGAAAUACCACAGUGGAAGGAAGAGAGAAUCUAACUCGCCUCACCCUCCUCCAUCAUGGCAGAAAGCGAGGACACACUGGCUGCAGUAGGGGGUAUAAACUGAUGGGCGAAGGUAAUCACCAGAAGCACCCAAACUGAAAAUAGUUAACCCUGGUUGGCCCCAGGGACAGGCAGAGAGCCCGUUCAGGGGACUGUGAGGAAAUUUGAAUAUGGACUGACGAUUAGGUAACAUUACAACAUUACUGUUAAUUACCAUUUUGUCGGGCUUCAUAAUGGUAAUGGUCUUGAUGUAAGAAAAGGUCUUAUUUUUCAGAGAAGCAAGCUGAAGCCUUGAGUGAGACAGGUUAUGUCUGGACUUGCUUUAAAAUAUAGAUGGGGCGCCUGGGUGGCUCAGAUUCUUGAUUUCGGCUCAGGUCAUGAUCCCAGGGUUGUGGGAUCAAGCCCCACAU
Molecule: long non-coding RNA, 5785 nt
Organism: Acinonyx jubatus (cheetah)
Lineage: Eukaryota; Metazoa; Chordata; Mammalia; Carnivora; Felidae
Exons: 4
Source: RefSeq, a predicted model, not a curated record